RNAcentral lists this ribosomal RNA (1180 nucleotides) under uncultured crenarchaeote. RNAcentral describes it as "bacterial SSU rRNA". It matches the Rfam family "Archaeal small subunit ribosomal RNA", at positions 224 to 1408 of the family's 1478-position model. Lineage: Archaea; Thermoproteati; Thermoproteota. The record is from RNAcentral.
AUCAGNUGUUGNUGGGGUAAUGGCCUNCCAAGCCGAUUACCGGUGNNGGCUUUGAGAGAAGNAGCCCGGAGAUGGACACUGAGAAAAGGGUCCAGGCCCUACGGGCGCAGCAGGCGCGAAAACUUUGCAAUGUGCGAAAGCACGACAAGGUUAAUCCGAGUGCAACAUGCUGAAUGUAGCUUUUGGUAAAUGUAAAUAGUUUAUUGAAUAAGGGGAGGGAAAGUCUGGUGUCAGCCGCCGCGGUAAUACCAGCUCCCCGAGUGGUCGGGACGAUUAUUGGGCNUAAAGCAUCCGUAGCCUGUUCUGUAGGUCUUAUGUUAAAAUCAAUUGCUCAACAAUUGAACUGCAUGAGAUACCACAAAACUAGGAGGCGGGAGAGGUGGACGGUACUCCACGGGUAGGGGUAAAAUCCUCUGAACCGUGGAAGACCACCAGUGGCGAAGGCGGUCCACCAGAACGCGCUCGACGGUGAGGGAUGAAAGCUGGGGUAGCGAACCGGAUUAGAUACCCGGGUAGUCCCAGCUGUAAACGAUGCAAGCUAGGUGAUGCAUCAGCCACGUGUUGAUGCAGUGCCGCAGGGAAGCCGUUAAGCUUGCCGCCUGGGGAGUACGGUCGCAAGGCUGAAACUUAAAGGAAUUGGCGGGGGAGCACCACAAGGGGUGAAGCCUGCGGUUCAAUUGGAGUCAACGCCGGGAACCUUACCAGGAGAGACAGCAGAGUGAAGGUCAAGCUGAAGACUUUACCAGACAAGCUGAGAGGAGGCGCAUGGCCGUCGACAGCUCGUGCCGUGAGGCGUCCUGUUAAGUCAGGCAACGAGCGAGACCCUUGCCAUUAAUUGCUUCCAUCGAUCGAAAGGUUGGCGGAGCUAGUUAAUGGGACUGCCGUUGAUAAAACGGAGGAAGGAAGGGGCCACGGCAGGUCAGUAUGCCCCGAAACUCUUGGGCCACACGCGGGCUGCAAUGGUAGGCACAAUAGGUACCGAAUUCGAGAGAAUGAGGCAAUCCCAAAAUCCUACCCCAGUUGUGAUUGAGGGCUGCAACUCGCCCCCAUGAAUCUGGAAUCCCUAGUAACCGCGUGUCAACAUCGCGCGGUGAAUACGUCCCUGCUCCUUGCACACACCGCCCGUCGCUUCACCCGAGUUGGGUUUGGGGGAGAUAGUGUCUUAUUGACAUUAUCGAAC